This 253-nucleotide ribosomal RNA is filed under the name uncultured bacterium. RNAcentral's name for it is "partial 16S ribosomal RNA". It matches the Rfam family "Bacterial small subunit ribosomal RNA", at positions 524 to 776 of the family's 1533-position model. The record is from RNAcentral.
UACGGAGGGUGCAAGCGUUAAUCGGAAUUACUGGGCGUAAAGCGCACGCAGGCGGUCUGUUAAGUCAGAUGUGAAAUCCCCGGGCUCAACCCGGGAACUGCAUUUGAAACUGGCAGGCUUGAGUCUCGUAGAGGGGGGUAGAAUUCCAGGUGUAGCGGUGAAAUGCGUAGAGAUCUGGAGGAAUACCGGUGGCGAAGGCGGCCCCCUGGACGAAGACUGACGCUCAGGUGCGAAAGCGUGGGGAGCAAACAGG